Molecule: ribosomal RNA, 206 nt
Filed under: uncultured bacterium
Lineage: Bacteria
Description: partial 16S ribosomal RNA
Rfam family: Bacterial small subunit ribosomal RNA
Source: RNAcentral
CGUAGGCGGGAUGGCAAGUCGGUCGUGAAAUCCUUCGGCUCAACCGAAGAACGUCGGCCGAUACUGCCGUUCUUGAGGGAUGCAGAGGAGAUUGGAAUUCCCGGUGUAGCGGUGAAAUGUGUAGAGAUCGGGAGGAACACCGGUGGCGAAGGCGGGUCUCUGGGCAUCUCCUGACGCUGAGGCGCGAAAGCGUGGGGAGCAAACGG